Molecule: long non-coding RNA, 694 nt
Organism: Chelonia mydas (Green sea turtle)
Lineage: Eukaryota; Metazoa; Chordata; Testudines; Cheloniidae
Exons: 3
Source: RefSeq, a predicted model, not a curated record
CCUUCCAGUAUCACACUGGGAAGAAGAAAGAUUGACAGGUGCUAUUCCCCCACCCAGUUACCACUGGGGAAAUAGCUGGACUAUGGAACUGGGAGAUACUUCCUCCCCAGAAGAUGGAAAACACAGAUGGUGAUGUGGCCAGAGGGCUGAAUCACGAAGAGGAUGCUACGGUUCCUGGACUGAGGCAGGUCUGCAGGAGAAGGUGGUAGGAGAGGCAACACCACCAAGAGAGGGCAUACUGGCUGAGAGAGCUAAUCCCCAAGACAACUCCAUCACAAAUUCCCAUUCAGUUUUCACCCAUGAAUACCAUUGCUGAGGCCAGGGAACCAAUGAGGACAGAAACAAACAGCUCUAGAAAAUGGCUAAAUGGCAGCAACUUGCUUGAAUUACAUUAACAAGGUAUCUUUCCAAUGUCACUGUGGAGCUGGGAGAACAAAUUGCCAAUAGCCCAUUGAUUUUUAACCCCGGCUAGAUAUUGAUCUAACCCCAAGACAAAAUGUCCAAAGAGGAAGCACUGUAAAACAAGAAAUGAAAUUAACCACAUAUCUAACAUCUGCUUGUUCUUAAAAUUCAUACCCAUUCGAAGUGAUCCCUGCUGCUGCUCAAAAGUGAAUGUCAGAACAACCAACCAAAAAACAAAGAAAAAUGCAUAACUGCAUAUUUGAACAAACUGGGGAGAGCAAAUUAAAUUAUA